UUAAAUUGAAGAGUUUGAUCAUGGCUCAGAUUGAACGCUGGCGGCAGGCCUAACACAUGCAAGUCGAACGGUAACAGGAAACAGCUUGCUGUUUCGCUGACGAGUGGCGGACGGGUGAGUAAUGUCUGGGAAACUGCCUGA
This 141-nucleotide ribosomal RNA is filed under the name Escherichia coli. RNAcentral describes it as "partial 16S ribosomal RNA". It matches the Rfam family "Bacterial small subunit ribosomal RNA", at positions 1 to 133 of the family's 1533-position model. Lineage: Bacteria; Pseudomonadati; Pseudomonadota; Gammaproteobacteria; Enterobacterales; Enterobacteriaceae. The record is from RNAcentral.